GUGAAAUGUAAAUGUCCUCAGCCAGUAGCACAGGCCCUGUUGUAAUGUGGAUGGCCUCAUCUAACAACUCUGUCCCUGGUGAAAUAUGGAUGGUAUUGGUCAGCACCACACACCCUGGUGUAAUGUGAAUGACCUUAGCCAACACCACUGGCCCUGGUGAAAUGUGCAUGAUAUCGGUCAGCACCAGAGGCCCAGGUGUAAUGUGGAUGGCAUCAACGAGCAGCAGAGGCCCUGGUGGGGUGAAGAUGGCCACACAGCAAUCACUUUCCCUGGUGUAAUGUGGAUGGUAGAAGCCGGCAUCACAGGCCGUGAUGUAAUGUGGAUCGCCUCAGCCAAAAGCACAGGCCCUGGUGUGGUGAAGAUGGCCUCACGGGAAGCACUGUCCCUUGUGUAAUGUGUAUGGCCUCAGCCAACAACAGUGGCCCUGGUGAAAUGUGGAUUAUAUUGGCCAGCACCACAGGCCCUGGUGUAAUGUGAAUAUCCUCAGCCAGUAGUAAAGGCCCUUGUGUUUUCUGGAACGCAUCAGCCGGCAACACAAGCCCUGGUGUAAUGUGGAUGGCCUCAGCCAGCACCACAGGCCCUGGUUUGGUGAUGAUGGCAUCACAGGAAGCACUGGCAGUGGUGUAAUGUGGAUGGCCUGAGCCAACAACACUGGCCCUGGUGAAAUGUGGAUGGUAUUGGCCAGCACCAAAGGCCCUGGUGUAAUGUUGAUGUCAUCAUCCAGCACCAAAGGCCCUGGUGUGCUGAUGAUGGCCUGACAGGAAGCACUGUCCCUGAUGUAAAGUAUAUGGCCUCAGCCAACAACAGUGGCCCUGUUGAAAUGUGGAUGGUAUCAUUGAGUAGAACAGGCCCUGGUGUAAUGUGGAUAGAAUCAUCCAACAGUACAGUCCCUGGUUUGGUGAAGAUUUCCUCACAGGAAGCACUGUCCCUGGUGUGAAGUGUAUGGCCUCAGCCAUCAACAGUGGCCCUGGUGAAAUGUGGAUGGUAUUGGCCAGCACAACAGGCCAUGUUGUAAUGUGAAUGUCCUCAGCCAGUAGACCAGGUCCUUGUGUACUGUGGAUCGCAUCAGCCAGCAACACCACAGGCACUGCUGAAAUGUGGUUGUUUUCGGCCAGCAACACAGGCCCUUGGGUAAUUUGGAUGGCUAGCAGCACAGGCCCUGGUCUGGUGAAGAUGGCCUCACAGAAAUCACUGGCCCUGGUGUAUUGUGGAUGGCAUCAGCCAUCAACACAGGCCCUCAUGAAAUAUAGGUGGCCUCAGCCAGUAGCACAGGACCUACUGCAAUGUGAAUGGCCUCAGCCAGCAACACAGUCGCUGGUGUAAUGUUAAUGUCCUUAUCCAACCCCAUGGCCCCGGUGCAAUGUGGAUGGCCUCAGCCAGCAGCACAGGACCUGGUGUAAUGUGGAUGGCAUAAUCUAACAACACUGGCCCUUGUGAAAUAUGGAUGGUAUUGGUAAGCACCACACACCCAUGUGUAAUGUGGAUGGCUUUAGCUGACACCACUGGCCCUGGUGUAAUGUGCAUGAUAUCGGCCAGCAUCAAAGGCCCUAAUGUGGAUGGCCUCAACGAGCAUCAAAGGCCCUGGUGGGGUAAAGAUGGCCCUUUACUCUACCAGCAAUACAUGACAUAAAUACACAUAUAAACAUUAUAAGACAUAAAUACACACAUAAACAUUAUAAGACAUAAAAACAAGUCAAAGAUAUUUGCAACAAACAGAACUCAGUGCAAGAAAGUUACUUACCAGCAAUACAACACAUAAAUACACAUUUAACAGCAAUACAAGACAUAAAUACACACAUAAACAUUACAAGACAUACAUACACACAUAAACAUUACAAGACAUAAAAACAAGUCAAAGAUAUUUGCAAUAAACAGA
Long non-coding RNA from Astatotilapia calliptera (eastern happy), 1876 nucleotides. NCBI's taxonomy places the organism in Eukaryota, Metazoa, Chordata, Actinopteri, Cichliformes, Cichlidae. The record is from Ensembl.